CGCCUGCCCCGCUGGGGUCUGCUGCGCAUGCGGUGUUACCCUGAGACUCAGGGACAUAUCAGGCAUUAACUUGCAGACUCAGAAACCUGAACGGCUGUUAACAGCGUCAUCAGCCGCAUUCCAGGCACAGUGCCGAGAGCCUCACGUGUACUAAUCCACUUAUAAAAACUUACUCCCACCUAAUCGAUGAGGAAACGAAGAUAGAAAGGUUUAUGCAGGAAAGUACACAGCCGCCAAGUAGCAGAACCAGGUUCAAGACAAUGUUAACCGCACGCUGACCUCGUUCUCUAGGCCGAAAUAAUAUCCAGAAUUAACGAGAUAAAAUACCACCCUACAAACAAGGCAAAGGUGGUCCUGGGUGGCCUGUCUUUACUGCAGACUGGGGUCCGUGGGCUCAAAAGUCUCCAACGCCAAACUCAAACUUUCACACACCCAAUACCUAAAAUCAGCCCAAACAAGCAUAUUCCAGGCUCCAGGAACUGCUGCUCUGCCCAGGGGACCGGAUGGAAGUGCGGACUGAGAACAAGCCCUCCACUCGGGGCAGGGUCCAAAUCGGAUACAUAGCACAGCCACCCUGCAGGAGGCCCGCAGCAUGUGAAAACGGGCCGAGUGGGAGCCCUGUCAGAGAAAAGGAAGGGCCUGAUUCACAAGGGAGAGAGAACCAAGAGUCCCCAGAACCAUCAAGUUUCCUUCUAACCUGCGGGCUCCUCAGCCUCAGCCCUACCCACACCUGGUUAGCUGUUGUGGUGGGGGAGGGGGGACACGGGGCCGGUCCUACUGCAAGGUCCAUAGUAGUCUCCCUCUCUCCCCACAGAUGCCAGCAUCACCCCAACUGCAGUCCUGACCAUCAAAAAUACCUCCAGAAACGCCCAGUGUCCCCUGCCCUGGGGGUCAAGGUCACAGAGGCCAGCAACCACUGGGCCCAGCAGUUAACGAUCAGUGUCAGUACUGCUUCAACAUAAACCUUUGUGACUACCAGCAGCGAUACAAGGAGCAGGACAGUCCACAGAUCUUGAAACACUAUGGAUCCAAGAUGGAGAACAAAGCAUCACUUCUGCUCAAAUACUCUACUUAAAAUGUAAUUUUCCAGUAAGUAAACCACCAAUACUCUAUAACCAAUAUUCAAUGGACUUGUGAAACUUUUAGAAACUUGUAGUAGGUAGGAUCAAAUGUUAUUUUUAAUUUUUGAGUUGGGAAGAACCUGUACUAGGGAACAAAAUGGAGACUGAGUGAAGCGUGCAAGAGCACAGAAUUUAAGGGAUAAUGGAAUUAAUAAAGGAGAGAGUGUGGUUAUAUAAAGCAAUAUUGGAGCAGGUUUCAGAAAAGACAGAAGGAGGUCCUAACAACACAGAGGGUCCCUUUUCUAUCCAGGUCUGAGAUGAGAUAAAGUCUUAAGAUGAAGAAUGUUAUUCGGGUCAAUUACAUCUCUAAUCUCAGAAAGGUCGUGAGGACCAGUCCUCUAACUUGGUGGACCAGCUCCACCAGGACCACCCAGGGCAGGACCGUGGGACCGUGGUGGGUAGGACAGGAGCUCAGCCCUGGGCAGCUUCUGUUUGGAAGCCAGUCAACCUCAUCCCCUCCCCUUCACCGCAGGUGAACUCAAAACUGUUUCUGCAGAAGCACCUCCAAGGGGACAAGCACCUCCAAGGGGUCCUUCCAUUUCAGUGGCGAUCUCACUGAUGACGAUUUUGUAUUUAGGACGCUUUAAAUUAAAAAAAAAAAAAAACAAAAAAAACUUGAUCCUAAAUGCCUCUGCAUGCUUUUGCAUCACUUCAGUGUUUACGGACACGUUCCCGUCCCUGUCCUGAUGCACUUUUCAAGGGAGACCUGGGUCCACACGUGCUCUGGGACACAGACACUAGUGGCGCAGGAGGAGGGACAUGAAAGGAGCUGACUAUGACCGACAGUCAGCAACCGUGCCAUCACCACCAGGACGUUUUACUGUGACUUACUUGUCGGGGUUCCCUUACCCAAAGCAGGGGGCUGACACACGGGGAGCCACAGAGAGCACCUUUAAUCAACAUGAAGAAAUGCGUUCAAACCCCCAAACAGAGGCACCUGAAGCAGCUCUUCUCCUUAAACUCUUCUCUCUCUGAAAGACUCGCCUGCCUUUGCCUCUUGGAAGGAGGAUCCUCUGGUCCUACAGAAGCACCCCCACCCCACUGUCUCAGACUCCCUUGGGUCAGCCUGGUAAGAUGAGACUUACACUUACUAACCCCAAUAAUCUAAGAACAUGAAGCCUUCCUAUCUGGGCAGUUUGGUUUGAGUAGCCAAAUUAGUAGCCUUUCAUCAGGGAAAACACCAACAAAAAUAUCAGUGUCUGUGUAACACCAACUUCUAGACAGACUCCACACUCACAGCACGCCCGAGGGAACUGCCCCGUCCCCUUUCUUCUCCUAACCUCUCCUAAUGUCACAUCUCCGAGUAUCACAGUGUUUGUCAUUUUCCAUUUGCCUGUGUGAACCAGCUGCACUAACCAGCCUCUACUACAGAGGCAGCAGCUUAUGAAAGUUCAAAGUGACACCGCAGAGUGGGAAGGUCAUAAAUGGGAGUGUCCCCUCUCCCUUUCUUCCACGGAGUCUCUUCAGUGAUGAAGGGUGUUGGCACCAACCUAACUUCGGUCUAGCUCAGGCCACUGCUUAACAUUAACUAUAAAUGAUGAACCACCAAAAAGCUAAUGCUACUUAGGAAAAUAUUCUCACCAAACUAUCAACAUCCUAAAUUCUUCUGAGAAUAACACAGAAGUAUUAUACAUAAUGUAAAGAAACAUGAUCAGAAAUCUGUCCUCAAUGAUCCACCUACAUAAAUCUUUACUUCAAAUUGGCCCCACAUACUCCAAGAUUCAAAAAGACUGAGAAGAUGGUUUCCAGGAGCAAUCAUAAACACGAAAGAUUCAAGCAAGCUUUCCAGUUGCUCUGAAUUGAGCUAAGGAAUUCACCUUGAGAAGAGAGGUCCCCUUGGUGCACAAGCUACACAGAGGAUUUUACAAACGGUGGUGGCAGACACCCCCCUUUCCAGCCGGCAGGAGAGAAGACAGGGAGGAAGUCACAGAUUUCUAUCACUGCUAAUGCUGAAGAAACUCACAAUAAAUUGUGAUGGUUUCUGAUUUAACAUAAUAAAAAGAGGUACUCCCCACCUCUUCCCCACAACAACUACUACAUACAUACCAGAAGCAGGUCUGACAAUUUUCCAGCUGUUCACAAGCAGGCUGUAGAUAAACAGGAACUAGCUGUGGACUUCCAACAGGUACAAACCCUGUCCCAACAGCCCACCUGGGCGACUAAAUGGCCUCUGCUCUUCCAGGUAGACAGAAAACAUCACCAGUGUCGGGGCAAUGCAUCUAGGAUGGUCGGACUGAUGUCCAUGUCGGACACUGAACAAACACCCAGGGCUCAGGCAGAGGAGAGGGGCUGGGGUUCAUCUCAGACAAAAGCAAGCAGCAGCAGAACAGCAGGUCACGGUGAAUCAGGAACCGGAGGAGCGCUUGUAGCCCCACGAGGACCGAACUGGGAUGGCGGUGUCUGCCCUGUGCACACCCUGUUCCUCCAAACAAGGGGAAAGGACCGCAGGACACAGUCAGAGAGAUAGAGACCGGCCGAAGGAUCAGCCUCCGCCUCCCUGGAG
Long non-coding RNA from Capra hircus (goat), 3624 nucleotides. Lineage: Eukaryota; Metazoa; Chordata; Mammalia; Artiodactyla; Bovidae. The record is from Ensembl.